Oxyura jamaicensis (ruddy duck) is the source of this 737-nucleotide long non-coding RNA. RefSeq lists it as uncharacterized. Lineage: Eukaryota; Metazoa; Chordata; Aves; Anseriformes; Anatidae. The transcript is spliced from 3 exons. The record is from RefSeq and is a predicted model, not a curated record.
AACACUAGGCUGAAGGGGCGAUAGGCAGCCCCCAGCCCAGCCCCCGAAGCGGCACGGAUCCCUGCCGCCGCCCCGCACCCUGCUCAGCGCCAGGCGCCCCUCGCAGGAGGAGGAGGAGGAGGAGCGGGGUUCCAGCUCGGCCGGGGAGGCUCGGAAAGCCGCCCAAAACGGGAAUUUCGCCACAAAACGCCGGUGGGUGGUCCCGGGCCCGGCACACCGCCACGGCGGCAGCAAGGGCCGGAGCUUGGCAGCCUGCGGGGGUAGCGUCCAGAUGUCUGCUUCUGAAAAGAGCAAGAAGUGCGCGUCGUCAACCACAGCAAACGUUUGGGCCGGUUGGGAGAGAAAGGAAGGAGGCGGAUUUGAGGGGAAGCAUUGUUAAGAUGUGUGCAGUGCUAGGAUCUGAGCAGAGGAGCAUCUCCAGGAUGGGAACAAAGAGCUUUAUAAAGGCCCAUAGGCACACAGAAAUCUGCCUGAUGUGCUUGAGUAAAACAUACUUUGAAGCAUCUGGUGCUUUGACAUCUGUGAAACAAAAUAAUCAAGCUGUGAGAGAAAUCCCCGUGCCUAUAACAGCUAGGAAGAACUAGCCACAGGGAGUACUGCUCGGCUGGGAUGAGAGAUCCACCAAGCCAAGCUGGGAAAGCACUGAACAGAACAGCUGCAGUGCAAUCUUCAGGUUUGGUGAGUUAACAAUUGGAUGCCUUCGUGGUGGUCAGUUGGAACUUGUCAUUCUGUGUCUG